UGGGGAAUAUUGGACAAUGGGCGAAAGCCUGAUCCAGCCAUGCCGCGUGUGUGAAGAAGGUCUUCGGAUUGUAAAGCACUUUAAGUUGGGAGGAAGGGCAGUAAGUUAAUACCUUGCUGUUUUGACGUUACCAACAGAAUAAGCACCGGCUAACUUCGUGCCAGCAGCCGCGGUAAUACGAAGGGUGCAAGCGUUAAUCGGAAUUACUGGGCGUAAAGCGCGCGUAGGUGGUUCAGCAAGUUGGAUGUGAAAUCCCCGGGCUCAACCUGGGAACUGCAUCCAAAACUACUGAGCUAGAGUACGGUAGAGGGUGGUGGAAUUUCCUGUGUAGCGGUGAAAUGCGUAGAUAUAGGAAGGAACACCAGUGGCGAAGGCGACCACCUGGACUGAUACUGACACUGAGGUGCGAAAGCGUGGGGAGCAAACAGGAUUAGGUACCCUGGUAGUCCACGCCGUAAACGAUGUCGACUAGCCGUUGGGAUCCUUGAGAUCUUAGUGGCGCAGCUAGCGCGAUAAGUCGACCGCCUGGGGAGUACGGCCGCAAGGUUA
RNAcentral lists this ribosomal RNA (549 nucleotides) under uncultured bacterium. RNAcentral's name for it is "bacterial SSU rRNA". It matches the Rfam family "Bacterial small subunit ribosomal RNA", at positions 355 to 896 of the family's 1533-position model. The record is from RNAcentral.